This 663-nucleotide ribosomal RNA is filed under the name uncultured bacterium. RNAcentral describes it as "bacterial SSU rRNA". It matches the Rfam family "Bacterial small subunit ribosomal RNA", at positions 65 to 708 of the family's 1533-position model. The record is from RNAcentral.
AGCGAAUGGAUUAAGAGCUUGCUCUUAUGAAGUUAGCGGCGGACGGGUGAGUAACACGUGGGUAACCUGCCCAUAAGACUGGGAUAACUCCGGGAAACCGGGGCUAAUACCGGAUAAUAUUUUGAACUGCAUGGUUCGAAAUUGAAAGGCGGCUUCGGCUGUCACUUAUGGAUGGACCCGCGUCGCAUUAGCUAGUUGGUGAGGUAACGGCUCACCAAGGCAACGAUGCGUAGCCGACCUGAGAGGGUGAUCGGCCACACUGGGACUGAGACACGGCCCAGACUCCUACGGGAGGCAGCAGUAGGGAAUCUUCCGCAAUGGACGAAAGUCUGACGGAGCAACGCCGCGUGAGUGAUGAAGGCUUUCGGGUCGUAAAACUCUGUUGUUAGGGAAGAACAAGUGCUAGUUGAAUAAGCUGGCACCUUGACGGUACCUAACCAGAAAGCCACGGCUAACUACGUGCCAGCAGCCGCGGUAAUACGUAGGUGGCAAGCGUUAUCCGGAAUUAUUGGGCGUAAAGCGCGCGCAGGUGGUUUCUUAAGUCUGAUGUGAAAGCCCACGGCUCAACCGUGGAGGGUCAUUGGAAACUGGGAGACUUGAGUGCAGAAGAGGAAAGUGGAAUUCCAUGUGUAGCGGUGAAAUGCGUAGAGAUAUGGAGGAACA